RNAcentral lists this transfer RNA (108 nucleotides) under Hypoxylon rubiginosum. RNAcentral's name for it is "tRNA-Ala". It matches the Rfam family "tRNA". Rfam says of the family: Transfer RNA (tRNA) molecules are approximately 80 nucleotides in length. Their secondary structure includes four short double-helical elements and three loops (D, anti-codon, and T loops). The record is from RNAcentral. Lineage: Eukaryota; Fungi; Ascomycota; Sordariomycetes; Xylariales; Hypoxylaceae.
GGGCUUGUGGUUUAGUGGUAUAAUACUCCCUUAGCACCGUCUGGUGUGUGUUCAUAGCAGCACCGUCAAGCUUGGGAGUGGUCCGGGGUUCGAUUCCCCGCGAGUCCA